GGGUCGUUAGCUCAGUUGGUAGAGCAGUUGACUUUUAAUCAAUUGGUCGCACGCACCA
RNAcentral lists this transfer RNA (58 nucleotides) under Salmonella enterica subsp. enterica. RNAcentral's name for it is "tRNA-Lys". It matches the Rfam family "tRNA". Rfam says of the family: Transfer RNA (tRNA) molecules are approximately 80 nucleotides in length. Their secondary structure includes four short double-helical elements and three loops (D, anti-codon, and T loops). Lineage: Bacteria; Pseudomonadati; Pseudomonadota; Gammaproteobacteria; Enterobacterales; Enterobacteriaceae. The record is from RNAcentral.